UACGAAGGGGGCUAGCGUUGCUCGGAAUUACUGGGCGUAAAGCGCACGUAGGCGGGUUCUUAAGUCGGUGGUGAAAUCCUGGAGCUCAACUCCAGAACUGCCUUCGAAACUGGGAAUCUUGAGUCCGGGAGAGGUGAGUGGAACUGCGAGUGUAGAGGUGAAAUUCGUAGAUAUUCGCAAGAACACCAGUGGCGAAGGCGGCUCACUGGCCCGGUACUGACGCUGAGGUGCGAAAGCGUGGGGAGCAAACAGGG
RNAcentral lists this ribosomal RNA (254 nucleotides) under uncultured bacterium. RNAcentral's name for it is "partial 16S ribosomal RNA". It matches the Rfam family "Bacterial small subunit ribosomal RNA", at positions 524 to 777 of the family's 1533-position model. The record is from RNAcentral.